This 125-nucleotide transfer RNA is filed under the name bacterium. Its description in RNAcentral is "tRNA-OTHER". The record is from RNAcentral.
GUCCCAGUAGCUCAAUGGCGGAGCACUUAUAGUGGUUAUAUAAACUGUAGCUCAGGCGGCUGUUAAUCACAGCAAACCAUUGACUAGACACCGCGCGGUUCUAGGUUCGACCCCUGGCUGGGACG